This 495-nucleotide ribosomal RNA is filed under the name uncultured bacterium. RNAcentral's name for it is "partial 16S ribosomal RNA". It matches the Rfam family "Bacterial small subunit ribosomal RNA", at positions 28 to 505 of the family's 1533-position model. The record is from RNAcentral.
GAUGAACGCUGGCGGCGUGCCUAAUACAUGCAAGUCGAGCGAACAGACGAGGAGCUUGCUCCUCUGACGUUAGCGGCGGACGGGUGAGUAACACGUGGAUAACCUACCUAUAAGACUGGGAUAACUUCGGGAAACCGGAGCUAAUACCGGAUAAUAUAUUGAACCGCAUGGUUCAAUAGUGAAAGACGGUUUUGCUGUCACUUAUAGAUGGAUCCGCGCCGCAUUAGCUAGUUGGUAAGGUAACGGCUUACCAAGGCAACGAUGCGUAGCCGACCUGAGAGGGUGAUCGGCCACACUGGAACUGAGACACGGUCCAGACUCCGACGGGAGGCAGCAGUAGGGAAUCUUCCGCAAUGGGCGAAAGCUUGACGGAGCAACGCCGCGUGAGUGAUGAAGGUCUUCGGAUCGUAAAACUCUGUUAUUAGGGAAGAACAAAUGUGUAAGUAACUAUGCACGUCUUGACGGUACCUAAUCAGAAAGCCACGGCUAACUACG